AAAAGAUAAAGUCAACGGUUGAGAAAAGUGUAUACCUGAGGUGCCCAUUAUUGCUCCACCACUUGACCAACAAAGGGUACUGCUCAUGGAACCAAGGAAGAUUAGCCUCCAGGACCCUUCCUCACCCACCUGCCCACCGCAGUUCUACAAUCCCAUUUCAAAGACCUCAAGAGAAGAUGUUGGAAUCAGCAUCUCAGAUUCCAAAAGCCAAUACUUAAACUGGG
This 224-nucleotide long non-coding RNA is filed under the name Homo sapiens (human). RNAcentral's name for it is "HSALNT0171468". The record is from RNAcentral. Lineage: Eukaryota; Metazoa; Chordata; Mammalia; Primates; Hominidae.